UUUUUUUUGCGUUCUCUUUCCCUCUCCCAACAUGGCAGCCUCAGCAAAAAAGAAGAAUAAGAAGGGGAAGACUAUCUCCCUAACAGACUUUCUGGCUGAGAAUGGGGGUACUGGUGGAGGAAGCACCUAUGUUUCCAAACCAGUCAGCUGGGCUGAUGAAACGGAUGACCUGGAAGGAGAUGUUUCAACAACGUGGCACAGUAAUGACGACGAUGUGUACAGGGCGCCUCCAAUUGACCGUUCCAUCCUUCCCACUGCUCCACGGGCUGCUCGGGAACCCAAUAUCGACCGGAGCCGUCUUCCCAAAUCGCCACCCUACACUGCUUUUCUAGGGAACCUACCCUAUGAUGUGACAGAAGAGUCAAUUAAGGAAUUCUUUAGAGGAUUAAAUGUAAGUGUAAAAGUUGUAAUAAUUAACUAGAUAUUGAGGAUAGUG
This is an RNA transcript of Cercocebus atys (sooty mangabey), 436 nucleotides long. It is a transcript of the gene named eukaryotic translation initiation factor 4B pseudogene, with no coding region annotated. The record is from RefSeq and is a predicted model, not a curated record. Lineage: Eukaryota; Metazoa; Chordata; Mammalia; Primates; Cercopithecidae. The transcript has a single exon.